UGGCGAACGGGUGAGUAACACGUGAGUAACCUGCCCCUGACUCUGGGAUAAGCGUUGGAAACGACGUCUAAUACUGGAUAUGACUACCGGUCGCAUGGCCUGGUGGUGGAAAGAUUUUUUGGUUGGGGAUGGACUCGCGGCCUAUCAGCUUGUUGGUGAGGUAAUGGCUCACCAAGGCGACGACGGGUAGCCGGCCUGAGAGGGUGACCGGCCACACUGGGACUGAGACACGGCCCAGACUCCUACGGGAGGCAGCAGUGGGGAAUAUUGCACAAUGGGCGAAAGCCUGAUGCAGCAACGCCGCGUGAGGGAUGACGGCCUUCGGGUUGUAAACCUCUUUUAGUAGGGAAGAAGCGAAAGUGACGGUACCUGCAGAAAAAGCACCGGCUAACUACGUGCCAGCAGCCGCGGUAAUACGUAGGGUGCAAGCGUUGUCCGGAAUUAUUGGGCGUAAAGAGCUCGUAGGCGGUUUGUCGCGUCUGCUGUGAAAUCCCGAGGCUCAACCUCGGGCUUGCAGUGGGUACGGGCAGACUAGAGUGCGGUAGGGGAGAUUGGAAUUCCUGGUGUAGCGGUGGAAUGCGCAGAUAUCAGGAGGAACACCGAUGGCGAAGGCAGAUCUCUGGGCCGUAACUGACGCUGAGGAGCGAAAGCAUGGGGAGCRAACAGGAUUAGAUACCCUGGUAGUCCAUGCCGUAAACGUUGGGCGCUAGAUGUAGGGACCUUUCCACGGUUUCUGUGUCGUAGCUAACGCAUUAAGCGCCCCGCCUGGGGAGUACGGCCGCAAGGCUAAAACUCAAAGGAAUUGACGGGGGCCCGCACAAGCGGCGGAGCAUGCGGAUUAAUUCGAUGCAACGCGAAGAACCUUACCAAGGCUUGACAUACACCGGAAACGGCCAGAGAUGGUCGCCCCCUUGUGGUCGGUGUACAGGUGGUGCAUGGUUGUCGUCAGCUCGUGUCGUGAGAUGUUGGGUUAAGUCCCGCAACGAGCGCAACCCUCGUUCUAUGUUGCCAGCGGGUUAUGCCGGGGACUCAUAGGAGACUGCCGGGGUCAACUCGGAGGAAGGUGGGGAUGACGUCAAAUCAUCAUGCCCCUUAUGUCUUGGGCUUCACGCAUGCUACAAUGGCCGGUACAAAGGGCUGCGAUACCGUAAGGUGGAGCGAAUCCCAAAAAGCCGGUCUCAGUUCGGAUUGAGGUCUGCAACUCGACCUCAUGAAGUCGGAGUCGCUAGUAAUCGCAGAUCAGCAACGCUGCGGUGAAUACGUUCCCGGGCCUUGUACACACCGCCCGUCAAGUCAUGAAAGUCGGUAACACCCGAAGCCGG
This 1322-nucleotide ribosomal RNA is filed under the name Curtobacterium flaccumfaciens. Its description in RNAcentral is "bacterial SSU rRNA". The record is from RNAcentral. Lineage: Bacteria; Bacillati; Actinomycetota; Actinomycetes; Micrococcales; Microbacteriaceae.